This 85-nucleotide microRNA precursor is filed under the name Canis lupus familiaris (dog). RNAcentral's name for it is "mir-8799 microRNA precursor family". It matches the Rfam family "mir-8799 microRNA precursor family". The record is from Rfam by way of RNAcentral. Lineage: Eukaryota; Metazoa; Chordata; Mammalia; Carnivora; Canidae. RNAcentral also lists the same sequence under 1 other name.
CGGGGGAGGCUGGAUCCUGGGCUGAGUCCGGCUCCCUGUGCUCCAGGGCCUGCGCUUUGGAUUCGCUCCCACCCCGCAGCCCCCU